RNAcentral lists this small RNA (367 nucleotides) under uncultured Entrophospora. Its description in RNAcentral is "SSU rRNA". It matches the Rfam family "Eukaryotic small subunit ribosomal RNA", at positions 569 to 942 of the family's 1831-position model. Lineage: Eukaryota; Fungi; Glomeromycota; Glomeromycetes; Entrophosporales; Entrophosporaceae. The record is from RNAcentral.
AGCAGCCGCGGUAAUUCCAGCUCCAAUAGCGUAUAUUAAAGUUGUUGCAGUUAAAAAGCUCGUAGUUGAAUUUCGGGGUCAGUAGGUCGGUCGUGCCACAGGUAUGCACUGGUCUCACUGAUUCCUCCUUCCUGAUGAACCGUAAUGCCAUUAAUUUGGUGUUGCGGGGAGACUGGACUGUUACUUUGAAAAAUUGAGUGUUUAAAGCAGGCUAACGCUUGAAUACAUUAGCAUGGAAUAACGGAAUAGGACGUUCGAUCUUAUUUUGUUGGUUUCUAAGAUUGACGUAAUGAUUAAUAGGGAUAGUUGGGGGCAUUAGUAUUCAAUUGUCAGAGGUGAAAUUCUUGGAUUUAUUGAAGACUAACUA